This is a long non-coding RNA of Notothenia coriiceps (black rockcod), 766 nucleotides long. RefSeq lists it as uncharacterized. The record is from RefSeq and is a predicted model, not a curated record. The transcript is spliced from 3 exons. NCBI's taxonomy places the organism in Eukaryota, Metazoa, Chordata, Actinopteri, Perciformes, Nototheniidae.
GCACAUGGGAUCCGUGCUGCGUACCGGGGAUCUUCAGCAACCCGCAGCCGAGCGGAGGGGACCUGAGCCCGGCGUGGAGCAGCACUCAACCUUCCUGGACUCUUCCUCUGACCCCACACUGGAGAACAUCUCCACAUUUCCGAGGUGAUCUUUCCUCUCGGCGUGUUAUUUAUUUAUAUCCGGACCCUGACAGUCAUCCGCGGCGGACGAACUGCGCCUUAACGCGGAGAGGUCGGACUUGUUUGGCUGGGGAACACACACCAACACACACGCGGAAACACUCCGGUCCUCUCGCCUCUCUUUCUUUUUUAUUUCCUGCCAGCUUUUUUCUCGACAUUUCUAUCGAACCAGGAGCUCGGAGGAUGAACUAGAAUCGCGAUCGCUUGUGUUUCACUGGAUUUAUUUCGCUGUGGAGGAAAAAAGAGAUCCCGGAGAGGAGCGGUGCGCAAAAAGCCGAGGUGUUCCUCUUCUCUCCUCUCCCUCUUUAUCUCCAUCUAUCAAUCUGUCUACCUGUCCUCUCCUGUCCAUCUGUCUCUUCAUUUGUUUCCCCUGUUUGUAGGUCCGUGAGAUUUUGCUAAAAUGCAUCAUCAACAGCGGAUGGCAGCUUUGGGAACGGACAAGGAACUGAGCGACUUAUUGGAUUUCAGCGCGAUGCGAAACAGCGAUUUGAAAAUGUUCCCAACAUCCAUGAUGUUUUCCCCUCCUGUUGGCAGUGGAAAGAACGGACCGCCGUCCCUGGGGAGCGGACAUUUCUCCGGCUCAAGUA